This 1386-nucleotide long non-coding RNA is filed under the name Felis catus (domestic cat). RNAcentral describes it as "lncRNA (ENSFCAG00000040337.2)". Lineage: Eukaryota; Metazoa; Chordata; Mammalia; Carnivora; Felidae. The record is from RNAcentral.
GAUGAGAGAGAGAGAGAGAGAGAGAGAAUGGGGGGGGGGGGUGGAGGGGCAGAGAAAGAAGAGAGAAAGAAGUCCGAGCAGGCUGUGCGCUGUCAGCGCAAAGACCGCCAUGGGGUUCAAACCCAAGAACCGUGAGAUCAUGAUCUGAAGCUGAAAUCAGGAGUCGGACGCUCACCUGACCGAGCCACCCAGACGCCCCCGGAGUCAUUUUUAAAACAGGGUAUAGGUGACCCUAACGUGGCCAGCCGUUGCUAGAAAAAAACAAUCUCCCUUGCCCACUGCCAAGUCAGACAGACGGACCGGGUUCUGAUGGGAGUCACAGAAGCAAAAGCUUUUGUGUGUAAGUGGAGAAAAGGAGAGGGGAGAAGAAUUGAGAGCGGAGGGGAGGGGAGGGGAAGUCAGACAAAACAAAAUGGCAUGUCUCUCCGACCGGGUCUCUUCAACUAGUUGUGAAAGCUGAGCUGAGGGGACAAAAAAGAACCCGCUGGAGGGGCGCCUGGGUGGCUCGGUCGGUCGAGUGUCCGAUUUCGGCUCAGGAGCCAGAGGACAGGGUAGAGGUGGAGACGAAGGCAGGGCUGCCGCAGGGCCAGGUAAAAAAACACAGACGCGGUGGGGAUUGGACUUGAGGACGCUGUCCUCCUGGGCUGGCAGGGACCCAACAGCCCGGCCAAGCCUGAGGAGGGAACGCUCAGGAGCGCCUGGAGUUGGAGUUGGUGUCCUUGGCAGCGGGCGGGAGGGGGGCAGACACCCUCCUGCUGUGCGUGGGCAUCCCCAAGGCUCUGUGGGGGUGUGAUGGUGGCUGAAUGGCAGCAGAAGAGGACUGGAAGAGCUUGGCAGAUGCCCCUUGCCGACCCAGGGCCCACAGGUGCCAGUCACGGAGUAGGGUGGCGUCUGAACCUGACGGUCCGUGGGCUAUUGUUCCGUAUAGGAUGCCGGGACGGCUGGGUAGCCAUCCAGAAAAAGUAACGUCAGACUUACACUCCCAAUUCCUGUACUAGGACGGAUACGAAGAAGUGUGAUCUGUGCUCGAGGUGGAAAUGCAAAAUGAUGAACAAUUGAAAGGACAACGGGCAAAGAAUAGAGACACUCAGUAACUUGACCAAACUCACAAGAAGCCGGUGCGUGAACCGGAAUGAGAAACCAUUAAUUUGCAAUGGGAAAUACUCCUUUGCGAUGACAGAACACGCAUGUCUGCCAUCCAGGCACCUCGCUGCACAGAUCAAGAUGCCCGUGACGUUCCGUGAGGGAGCCCGGUGGGGCGCCUGGCUGGCUCCUUCAGAAGAGCAUGGGACUCUCGAUGAUCUCAGGGUCGUGAGUUCAGACCCCAUGUUGGGCAUGGAGCCUACUUUAAAUAAAUAAAUAAAUAAAUAAAUAAAUAAAUAAAUA